GACGAACGCUGGCGGCGUGCUUAACACAUGCAAGUCGAACGGAAAGGCCCCUUUGGGGGUACUCGCGUGGCGAACGGGGGAGUAACACGUGAGUAACCUGCCCUUGACUUCGGGAAAACUACAGGAAACUGGGGCUAAUACCGGAGAGGAAUCCUUGGUGCAUGGGGGGGGCUGGAAAGCUUGGGCGGUUUUGGAUGGACUCGCGGCUUAUCAGCUUGUUGGUGGGGGAGUGGCUUACCAAGGCCUUGACGGGUAGCCGGCCUGAGAGGGCGACCGGCCACAUUGGGGCUGAGAUGCGGCCCAGACUCCUACGGGAGGCAGCAGUGGGGAAUAUUGCACGAUGGGCGGAAGCCUGAUGCAGCAACGCUGCGGGCGGGAUGACGGCCUUCGGGUUGUAAACCGGUUUCAGCAGGGGCGAAGCUUGUGGUGACGGUACCUGCAGAAGAAGCACCGGCUAACUACGUG
RNAcentral lists this ribosomal RNA (465 nucleotides) under uncultured bacterium. RNAcentral's name for it is "partial 16S ribosomal RNA". It matches the Rfam family "Bacterial small subunit ribosomal RNA", at positions 28 to 507 of the family's 1533-position model. The record is from RNAcentral.